UUUUUUUUUUUUUUUUUGCUUUUUAACGAAAAAAAAUCAGAGUUUAAAAUGGACUCCCAGGAUUCAUUUCGCCAGAGUCAAACAGCAACAGCAGCAGCAUGUUUAAAAUGGACUCUCCCAGAAUUUCGAUUUGGAGGUUCAUUUCGCCGAACCUCUACAAAUUCAGAGUUUAAAAUGGACUGGUCGAAACCCUGCGGAAUUGUCACGCGACCCGUCUAGGCGUCGACCGCCGUUCCUAACCCCUCUUCUUACAAUUGAGAGCAGGUGAUCGGCCGUUCCACUGCAUGGUACGAGGCCGUUACCGUGCGUAGUGCCCUCAAUCUUGUAGAACCUGCCCAGGGGCGAAGGGGAAAUUGAGGAUCGCAAAUGCUCAGGAUCGAAGUACAACCAACAAACAAUCGCUAUUCUCAGGAUCAAACUGACGACAUGUAGAAACUGGGAAACUGCAAAUUCAUUUCAGAGUUAGAGCUGGAUACAUCUGAUACCUGAACAUUCCAGACACUAAACACCACCAGCGAUACAUAGAACCUGCCUAGCAGAACCGAAACCUAAAUCAGGGAGGAUGAGGCAUCCUUUUGUACAGACCGAGAACACCAACGCACACCUAAAACCACCUAUCAGAUCAGAUCAGAUCAA
Molecule: long non-coding RNA, 636 nt
Filed under: Triticum aestivum (bread wheat)
Lineage: Eukaryota; Viridiplantae; Streptophyta; Magnoliopsida; Poales; Poaceae
Description: long non-coding RNA (TAES_LNC022899)
Source: RNAcentral